RNAcentral lists this unclassified non-coding RNA (232 nucleotides) under uncultured fungus. Its description in RNAcentral is "partial contains 5.8S rRNA and ITS2". The stretch from base 1 to 52 matches the Rfam family "5.8S ribosomal RNA", at positions 103 to 154 of the family's 154-position model. The record is from RNAcentral. Lineage: Eukaryota; Fungi.
AACGCACAUUGCGCCCUUUGGUAUUCCGAAGGGCAUGCCUGUUCGAGCGUCAUUGCACCCCUCAAUCAUUCCUUGUUAUUUGGCUGCGCCCCGGUGGCGGUCGAGGGAGACUUCACGCGUAGCAAGAUUUCACCAUCCCGCUUUGGAAGGUUCCUGCUGCGUGCCGGCCAGAUAACCACAAUUUCUUUCAAUGAUUGACCUCGGAUCAGGUAGGGAUACCCGCUGAACUUAA